This 444-nucleotide ribosomal RNA is filed under the name uncultured organism. Its description in RNAcentral is "partial 16S ribosomal RNA". It matches the Rfam family "Bacterial small subunit ribosomal RNA", at positions 335 to 796 of the family's 1533-position model. The record is from RNAcentral.
ACUCCUACGGGAGGCAGCAGUGGGGAAUAUUGGACAAUGGGCGCAAGCCUGAUCCAGCCAUGCCGCGUGAGUGAUGAAGGCCCUAGGGUUGUAAGGCUCUUUCACCGGUGAAGAUAAUGACGGUAACCGGAGAAGAAGCCCCGGCUAACUUCGUGCCAGCAGCCGCGGUAAUACGAAGGGGGCUAGCGUUGUUCGGAUUUACUGGGCGUAAAGCGCACGUAGGCGGACUAUUAAGUCAGGGGUGAAAUCCCGGGGCUCAACCCCGGAACUGCCUUUGAUACUGGUAGUCUUGAGUUCGAGAGAGGUGAGUGGAAUUCCGAGUGUAGAGGUGAAAUUCGUAGAUAUUCGGAGGAACACCAGUGGCGAAGGCGGCUCACUGGCUCGAUACUGACGCUGAGGUGCGAAAGCGUGGGGAGCAAACAGGAUUAGAAACCCGUGUAGUCC